This 2181-nucleotide ribosomal RNA is filed under the name Salmonella enterica subsp. enterica serovar Oslo. Its description in RNAcentral is "partial 23S ribosomal RNA". It matches the Rfam family "Bacterial large subunit ribosomal RNA", at positions 638 to 2802 of the family's 2925-position model. Lineage: Bacteria; Pseudomonadati; Pseudomonadota; Gammaproteobacteria; Enterobacterales; Enterobacteriaceae. The record is from RNAcentral.
UAGCAAGGUUAACCGAAUAGGGGAGCCGGAGGGAAACCGAGUCUUAAUUGGGCGUUAAGUUGCAGGGUAUAGACCCGAAACCCGGUGAUCUAGCCAUGGGCAGGUUGAAGGUUGGGUAACACUAACUGGAGGACCGAACCGACUAAUGUUGAAAAAUUAGCGGAUGACCUGUGGCUGGGGGUGAAAGGCCAAUCAAACCGGGAGAUAGCUGGUUCUCCCCGAAAGCUAUUUAGGUAGCGCCUCGUGAACUCAUCUCCGGGGGUAGAGCACUGUUUCGGCUAGGGGGCCAUCCCGGCUUACCAACCCGAUGCAAACUGCGAAUACCGGAGAAUGUUAUCACGGGAGACACACGGCGGGUGCUAACGUCCGUCGUGAAGAGGGAAACAACCCAGACCGCCAGCUAAGGUCCCAAAGUCAUGGUUAAGUGGGAAACGAUGUGGGAAGGCCCAGACAGCCAGGAUGUUGGCUUAGAAGCAGCCAUCAUUUAAAGAAAGCGUAAUAGCUCACUGGUCGAGUCGGCCUGCGCGGAAGAUGUAACGGGGCUAAACCAUGCACCGAAGCUGCGGCAGCGACGCUCAGGCGUUGUUGGGUAGGGGAGCGUUCUGUAAGCCUGUGAAGGUGGCCUGUGAGGGUUGCUGGAGGUAUCAGAAGUGCGAAUGCUGACAUAAGUAACGAUAAAGCGGGUGAAAAGCCCGCUCGCCGGAAGACCAAGGGUUCCUGUCCAACGUUAAUCGGGGCAGGGUGAGUCGACCCCUAAGGCGAGGCCGAAAGGCGUAGUCGAUGGGAAACGGGUUAAUAUUCCCGUACUUGGUGUUACUGCGAAGGGGGGACGGAGAAGGCUAUGUUGGCCGGGCGACGGUUGUCCCGGUUUAAGCGUGUAGGUGUGUGUUCCAGGUAAAUCCGGUUCACUUUAACACUGAGGCGUGACGACGAGGCACUACGGUGCUGAAGCAACAAAUGCCCUGCUUCCAGGAAAAGCCUCUAAGCAUCAGGUAACAUCAAAUCGUACCCCAAACCGACACAGGUGGUCAGGUAGAGAAUACCAAGGCGCUUGAGAGAACUCGGGUGAAGGAACUAGGCAAAAUGGUGCCGUAACUUCGGGAGAAGGCACGCUGACACGUAGGUGAAGUGAUUUACUCAUGGAGCUGAAGUCAGUCGAAGAUACCAGCUGGCUGCAACUGUUUAUUAAAAACACAGCACUGUGCAAACACGAAAGUGGACGUAUACGGUGUGACGCCUGCCCGGUGCCGGAAGGUUAAUUGAUGGGGUCAGCGCAAGCGAAGCUCCUGAUCGAAGCCCCGGUAAACGGCGGCCGUAACUAUAACGGUCCUAAGGUAGCGAAAUUCCUUGUCGGGUAAGUUCCGACCUGCACGAAUGGCGUAAUGAUGGCCAGGCUGUCUCCACCCGAGACUCAGUGAAAUUGAACUCGCUGUGAAGAUGCAGUGUACCCGCGGCAAGACGGAAAGACCCCGUGAACCUUUACUAUAGCUUGACACUGAACAUUGAGCCUUGAUGUGUAGGAUAGGUGGGAGGCUUUGAAGCGUGGACGCCAGUCUGCGUGGAGCCGACCUUGAAAUACCACCCUUUAAUGUUUGAUGUUCUAACGUGGACCCGUUACCCGGGUUGCGGACAGUGUCUGGUGGGUAGUUUGACUGGGGCGGUCUCCUCCUAAAGAGUAACGGAGGAGCACGAAGGUUGGCUAAUCCUGGUCGGACAUCAGGAGGUUAGUGCAAUGGCAUAAGCCAGCUUGACUGCGAGCGUGACGGCGCGAGCAGGUGCGAAAGCAGGUCAUAGUGAUCCGGUGGUUCUGAAUGGAAGGGCCAUCGCUCAACGGAUAAAAGGUACUCCGGGGAUAACAGGCUGAUACCGCCCAAGAGUUCAUAUCGACGGCGGUGUUUGGCACCUCGAUGUCGGCUCAUCACAUCCUGGGGCUGAAGUAGGUCCCAAGGGUAUGGCUGUUCGCCAUUUAAAGUGGUACGCGAGCUGGGUUUAGAACGUCGUGAGACAGUUCGGUCCCUAUCUGCCGUGGGCGCUGGAGAACUGAGGGGGGCUGCUCCUAGUACGAGAGGACCGGAGUGGACGCAUCACUGGUGUUCGGGUUGUCAUGCCAAUGGCACUGCCCGGUAGCUAAAUGCGGAAGAGAUAAGUGCUGAAAGCAUCUAAGCACGAAACUUGCCCCGA